AGUAACUGCGAGUGAAGCGGCAAAAGCUCAAAUUUGAAAUCUGGCGUCUUUGGCGUCCGAGUUGUAAUUUGGAGAGGCAUCUUCGGAGAAGGCGCUGUCCUAAGUUCCUUGGAACAGGACAUCACAGAGGGUGAGAAUCCCGUGCCUGGAUGGCUGUCCAUCUCCAUGUGAAGAGUCUUCGACGAGUCGAGUUGUUUGGGAAUGCAGCUCAAAAUGGGUGGUAAAUUUCAUCUAAAGCUAAAUAUUGGCGAGAGACCGAUAGCGCACAAGUAGAGUGAUCGAAAGAUGAAAAGCACUUUGAAAAGAGAGUUAAAAAGUACGUGAAAUUGUUGAAAGGGAAGCGCUUGAGACCAGACUCAAUCUUUGGUGAUCAGCUGUGCUUCUGCGCAGUGCACUUGCUAUUGAUUGGGCCAGCAUCGGUUCCGACGGUGGGAUAAAAGGCGGAGGAAUGUAGCUUCCUUCGGGGAGUGUUAUAGCCUCCGUCACAAUGCCAUCAGUUGGGACCGAGGACCGCGCUUCGGCUAGGAUGCUGGCGUAAUGGUCUUAAGCGACCCGUCUUGAAACACGGACCAAGGAGUCUAACAUCUAUGCGAGUGUUCGGGUGGAAAACCCUUGCGCGUAAUGAAAGUGAACGGAGGUGGGAACCCGCAAGGGUGCACCAUCGACCGAUCCUGAUGUCUUCGGAAGGAUUUGAGUAAGAGCAUAGCUGUUGGGACCCGAAAGAUGGUGAACUAUGCCUGAAUAGGGUGAAGCCAGAGGAAACUGUGGUGGAGGCUCGCAGCGGUUCUGACGUGCAAAUCGAUCGUCAAAUUUGGGUAUAGG
RNAcentral lists this ribosomal RNA (822 nucleotides) under Perilachnea hemisphaerioides. RNAcentral describes it as "partial large subunit ribosomal RNA". It matches the Rfam family "Eukaryotic large subunit ribosomal RNA", at positions 82 to 921 of the family's 3401-position model. The record is from RNAcentral. Lineage: Eukaryota; Fungi; Ascomycota; Pezizomycetes; Pezizales; Pyronemataceae.